Molecule: long non-coding RNA, 511 nt
Organism: Cynara cardunculus var. scolymus (artichoke)
Lineage: Eukaryota; Viridiplantae; Streptophyta; Magnoliopsida; Asterales; Asteraceae
Exons: 2
Source: RefSeq, a predicted model, not a curated record
GGGGGAGAAAUGCUCGGAAAAAAUUGGAUGAGGCUCCCGCGAGAGAGACGGGAGGUUUCUCAAGGGUUGUUGCCCCUCUUUUGCCACUACAUGAUCCCAAAUUGGGUCAUGUUGAGCCGAUGAUUUCGUCCCCCCAGUUCUUCACCAUCAAUCAACAACAGCCCUUGAAGAACAGGCRGAAAGAUGAAACCAAAAGGAUUUGAUGAAUUCUAAGAGGCUGUGAUGAUGAAUUUGUUUGCAUCUGAGUGGAUCCGAUCAAAGUUAGAGAUAAUACGCAUCUUGGCAGGGUAAUCCGGAUGGUUAUGUGGAAGAAAGAAGACUUCUUAGUCUCAGUUCUUCGACAUUGCAACCAGGAAAGUUUGCAGCCAUGGCGGAUUCAUCCUCUUUGUUCGAUUGUUUACAAUCUGAGCCUCACAUUUUUAAAUCGAACCUCAAUUUACACGUUCUUUAAAAUCUUUUUCUUACAUAUUGAAGAGUUAAUCGAAAAUUAUGGUGAUUGGGUGUUUCUUUC